This 200-nucleotide unclassified non-coding RNA is filed under the name soil metagenome. RNAcentral describes it as "partial contains internal transcribed spacer 2 and large subunit ribosomal RNA". The record is from RNAcentral.
UCAUUAUCACUACUCAAGCCUGGCUUGCUGUUGGACCAUGGUCGUGAAAGACCGGGUCUCAAAGAUAAUGACGGCGUCAAUUAGACCCUAGAUGCAACGAGCUUUAACUAGCACGCAUGUUAGAAGCCUUUUGACGCCGGUCGUAUAACCAAUUUCUCAAGGUUGACCUCGGAUCAGGUAGGAAUACCCGCUGAACUUAA